Long non-coding RNA from Gallus gallus (chicken), 1548 nucleotides. NCBI's taxonomy places the organism in Eukaryota, Metazoa, Chordata, Aves, Galliformes, Phasianidae. The record is from Ensembl.
CAGAUUUGCAGCUCUGGAAUCGUGUAUUUCGACUUGGGUUUCCCUCUCUCCCACCCCGCACCCUGACAAAUCAUCCCUGCCUUCUGAGACCGAUAAUCCCAGUUGGCUGCAAUGACACCUACUGGAUGUCAGAGCUGAUGGACUGCAGACCCUGCUGCUGCUGAGUUUAGCUAGCGUCACUGCCAAUGCAACGUUCAACACCACAGCCCUCUCCGGCACAGCUCCCGCCCACUGCAGCUCUUCCUGACUGCUUGGAUCUCGGUUACCCCUAUGAAGCAAUUUCCUGCCUCUUUCAGGCUCAUUUCUCAACUCCCAGGGAAAAAGGUGGGACCCAAUGUGAUAUCAUGGAAGACCAGUGGAGACCUAAUGGGAAUCCAGCCUGCAGACUGGCAUUUUUCAGAGUUGCCUGAGUUCACUAGGUUUGGAAAGACUCUUGACCAACACGUGUUGGCCACGGCCUCUGGAUGAGGAAAUCUCGGAGGAAAAUACUGAGAUGAACCUGAGCCUCUCUGGUGAAUUCUUCGUUUCAAUGGUGGAAUAAGUGGCCACAGAUCCAAAUGAGAAAUACAUUACCUAAGUUUAUUAGGAACUUAAUCAUCCAGUAAGAGACCAAGAACCUUGGAUGAACUUCUCAGUGACUCCAGCUCUAGCAUUCAGCAGAGGAAUUAAAAACAUAACAGGCUAAUGAAACACUGUUAGAAUCACCCACCCAUCAGUUAAGUAAAAUGCUCCUUCUUAAAGUUAUUCAAAACAAAAACAAACACAAAAGACUAAAAAAGAAAUUUAUCCUGAUUGGAAAGAUUAUGGUCUGUCUGAUCAUGAACAUAAACUCUAAGGUCUGCCUAGAGUCAAUACUGGCAAUAAGAUUCUUAGCUUUUAAAGAAGAUGAAUUCAGUAGUUGGAAUAAAACACAUGAAUUAUAAAUUUCUAUUAUGGAACAUCUGAGUAUGAUGUCCUGUGAGAGUUAAGAAAAAGAGAAAAACUUUGUCUCAGCCAAGAAAAGAAGCUGGAACUAUAACCAUUUACAUUCUGUGAAAGAAAAUCAUAAAGAUGCUGUUCAUAGUUAUUGAUUUUUGAAAGAGGAUAAGACAUAAAUUAUAUAUAUAUACAUAUACAUGCACUACGUACAUCCCUACCAACGGUGUGUUAUAGAGAUAUUUCAGCUAUCUCCAUAUGACGUCCAGCAUGACAAUAGAAUGACAUUGAGGAACCUGUCUAUCACAUGCUAUAUACACUCUGCCUGGGGAGAACAAACUCUGGACUCAGGACCUAUCUGUGAUCCUUAAUGUUAAAUUUCUUUCAAAACCGUCUACUAUUCAGGAUACUGGAACAUAUUUGUAGAGUUCCUCUCACAUCAUUUAUCAAAGAGCUUUUCAACAUCUCAGCUCCAGAAAGGUAAUCCCAACCCAUGAGAACUCAAAAGAACAGUGCAAAGUAAACAAACCCUGACCAGACGGACAGAAGGUAUGCAUGAGAGGAAGAGUAGCUUUCUCACUAAAUUCCUUGUCAUUUUAUGCCAUCUAUGAUAGAUUAGCAGUGUCUGGCUGA